GCCCGCGUGGGGUAGCCUGGAUAUCCUGAGAGAUUGCGGAUCUCUUGACCCGGAUUCGAAUUCCGGCGCGGGCACCA
This 77-nucleotide transfer RNA is filed under the name Methanomassiliicoccales archaeon RumEn M2. RNAcentral's name for it is "tRNA-Arg". The record is from RNAcentral. RNAcentral also lists the same sequence under 3 other names. Lineage: Archaea; Methanobacteriati; Thermoplasmatota; Thermoplasmata; Methanomassiliicoccales.